RNAcentral lists this unclassified non-coding RNA (290 nucleotides) under uncultured fungus. RNAcentral describes it as "sequence contains ITS1". The record is from RNAcentral. Lineage: Eukaryota; Fungi.
GGGGACUACCGGGGUUUCUAAUCCUGUUUGCUCCCCACGCUUCCGCACCUCAGCGUCAGUAUCGAGCCAGUGAGCCGCCUUCGCCACUGGUGUUCCUCCGAAUAUCUACGAAUUUCACCUCUACACUCGGAAUUCCACUCACCUCUCUCGACCUCAAGACCGGGAGUUUCAAAGGCAGUUCCGGGGUUGAGCCCCGGGAUUUCACCCCUGACUUUCCAGUCCGCCUACGUGCGCUUUACGCCCAGUAAUUCCGAACAACGCUAGCCCCCUCCGUAUUACCGCGGCGGCUG